AUUGCCUCUUGGCUUUUGGGCUGAGAUCAAGUGUAGAAUCUGUUCUUAGUUUAAUAUCUGAUAUGUCCUUUAUCUCAGGACAGUAUAGUAAAUAGAUUUUUGGAAUUUUGAGAUGGAAGAGGACCUAAAACUGUUCGCUCCUUACAUCAACAUGAUGUUGCAGCACUACCAGGAAUGGCGCACACCCU
Cynocephalus volans (Philippine flying lemur) is the source of this 188-nucleotide small nuclear RNA. RefSeq annotates it as U2 spliceosomal RNA. The record is from RefSeq and is a predicted model, not a curated record. The transcript has a single exon. Lineage: Eukaryota; Metazoa; Chordata; Mammalia; Dermoptera; Cynocephalidae.